AAUGAACGCUGGCGGCGCGCCUAAUACAUGCAAGUCGAGCGAGAAGACGUAGCAAUACGUUUGUAAAGCGGCGAACGGGUGAGGAAUACAUGGGUAACCUACCCUCGAGUGGGGAAGUAACUAGCCGAAAGGUUAGCUAAUACCGCGUACGCUCCUUGGACUUCGGUUCAGGGAGGAAAGCGAUACCGUGGGUAUCGCGCUCUUGGUUGGGCUCAUGUCCUAUCAGCUUGUUGGUGAGGAACGGCUCACCAAGGCUUCGACGGGUAGCUGGUCUGAGAGGACGAUCAGCCACACUGGCACUGCGACACGGGCCAGACUCCUACGGGAGGCAGCAGUAAGGAAUAUUGCGCAAUGGGCGAAAGCCUGACGCAGCGACGCCGCGUGGGGGAGUG
This 392-nucleotide ribosomal RNA is filed under the name uncultured bacterium. RNAcentral's name for it is "bacterial SSU rRNA". It matches the Rfam family "Bacterial small subunit ribosomal RNA", at positions 29 to 411 of the family's 1533-position model. The record is from RNAcentral.